Heterocephalus glaber (naked mole-rat) is the source of this 1453-nucleotide long non-coding RNA. NCBI's taxonomy places the organism in Eukaryota, Metazoa, Chordata, Mammalia, Rodentia, Bathyergidae. The record is from Ensembl.
GGAGGAGGAACAGGUCAUGGAUACCUGGAAAUCAGGAGAGAUCUGACAGGAAAGUUAAAACCUAUAGGAGAAGGAAUAAUCUGCACUUUCUCUCUGGCUCCCAGGUUGUAACUCCUGAGAAAAGAACCUAGAGAGGAAGUGAAAGCUGAGGACUCCAGUGGGCUUCAGGGAGAAAUGCAGCAGUGGAAUGGACCAGUGGAUGCUGUGAGCUGAAACAACCGAUUGGACUUCUCCCACCCUUAAGGAAGCAGCAUGAUUGGUGGCAGUGAUCUCAACUCCAAACACACGGAGAUGGCUUGCGUGGUAACCUAAUAGACGCUUACAGGUAUGGUGAAGGAAUGCUGCUCAUGUCAUGGCGGCCUGGAAGCAGAGAGAGCAGGAAGAGCCAGAAGAGAUACAGGUAAUCCUCGUUGAAUGACUGAGUUUUGGUCUCACAACUAGGUCAUUAAAUGUUGAUCACUAAAGGAAUUGUAUGCACCAUGUACAUUACAAUAUUCAGAACAAAGAAUCGGUCAAAGGAAACUCCAGCCUGAUGACUUUGCUUUUAUUUGCCUAACUCUUACAUGCAGUACUGUAAUGUAUAACAGAUCAUAAAACUAGAGUCCUGUAUUCUACAGUACAAUCAAUUAGCAAAAGUUACUGUAUAAACAAGUACUGUAUAAAUAAGGUAUACUGUACCAAAAAGACACUUAGGCUCUAUACACAAGACGUAAAGAACUGUACAAAAAAGGAUGGGUCCUAAGUCUGAACAGUCAUUAAACAGGGGGUCCUUAAAUGAGGAAUGUCUGUAUUCUUAAGGAAUGACCCCAGGGACCCAGCUCUUCCACCUAGACUCCACCUCCUAAUAGCCCAACCGGCUAUGAACUCAUUCGUGUGUUAACCUAUGGAUGAGUCAGUACCCUAAGGAUCCAAUCACCUUCAGAAAGGCCCACCUCUGAAGUUAUGUGACUUUGGGGGACAUUUUAAAGAGUUAAACCAUAACAGUAAACAAACUUAAGAUGCAAACAAUACAUCUGGUCACCCCCAUCACACUGAAAAUUAACAGAUUAAUUCUCCCAGAUGACUAUAUAAUCAAAUGAAUUUCCUGUGCAAGUAUAAUGAAUUCAAAUAUUUCCAUAAGAAACUGGAAUUAAACACUUAUGAUAAAGACUUCUACCACUCCUAAGAAACUAGGCGUCCACUUCGUCUGUGUCAUAUGGAGUGCUCUGCCAAAUUCUAUUCCUCUCACUGUAAAUAGUUGUUCGUUGUCUAACAAGCUACCUGUAUAAUGACUGUUUGGACUUAAAACCCAGGCGCACUGUUCAGACUUACGACUCAUCGUUUUUUUUGUACCGUUCUGUACAUCUUGUUUAUAAGGUCUAAAUGUCUUUUUUGUACAAUACACUUUUAUACAGAAGCUUCUGCUGAUGGUACUGUACAGUACAGGUCUUAAGAGACCUGUUGCCAAAGGGCC